This 254-nucleotide ribosomal RNA is filed under the name uncultured bacterium. RNAcentral describes it as "partial 16S ribosomal RNA". It matches the Rfam family "Bacterial small subunit ribosomal RNA", at positions 524 to 776 of the family's 1533-position model. The record is from RNAcentral.
UACGUAGGGGGCAAGCGUUGUCCGGAUUUAUUGGGCGUAAAGAGCUCGUAGGUGGUUCGGUAAGUCGGAUGUGAAAUCUCCAGGCUCAACCUGGAGGGGUCAUUCGAUACUGCCGUGACUAGAGUUCGGUAGGGGAGUGUGGAAUUCCUGGUGGAGCGGUGAAAUGCGCAGAUAUCAGGAAGAACACCCGUGGCUAAGGCGGCUCUCUAGUACGGUACUGACGCUGAGACGCGAAAGCGUGGGGAGCGAACAGG